GCAAGUCGAACGAGAAAGCUUCUUCGGAAGUGAGUACAGUGGCGAACGGGAGAGUAACGCGUGGGAAACCUGCCCUUCAGCGGGGGACAACAGUUCUAACGAGCUGCUAAUACCGCAUACGAUCUAGGCACCGCAUGGAGCCUGGAUGAAAGAUGGCCUCUACAUGUAAGCUGUCACUGAAGGAUGGUCCCGCGUCCCAUUAGCUUGUUGGUGGGGUAAUGGCCUACCAAGGCGACGAUGGGUAGCCGGCCUGAGAGGGUGUCC
Molecule: ribosomal RNA, 264 nt
Filed under: uncultured bacterium
Lineage: Bacteria
Description: partial 16S ribosomal RNA
Rfam family: Bacterial small subunit ribosomal RNA
Source: RNAcentral